RNAcentral lists this ribosomal RNA (497 nucleotides) under uncultured bacterium. Its description in RNAcentral is "partial 16S ribosomal RNA". It matches the Rfam family "Bacterial small subunit ribosomal RNA", at positions 29 to 507 of the family's 1533-position model. The record is from RNAcentral.
AAUGAACGCUGGCGGCAUGCCUAACACAUGCAAGUCGAGCGAACAGACGGGGAGCUUGCUCCCCUGACGUUAGCGGCGGACGGGUGAGUAACACGUGGAUAACCUACCUAUAAGACUGGGAUAACUUCACGAAACCUGAGCCAAUAUCCGAUAAUAUAUUGAACCGCAUGGUUCAAUCGUCAAAGCGGGUUUUGCUGUACCUUAGACAUGGAUCCGCGUCGCAUUAGCUAGUUGGUAAGGUAACGGCUUACCAAGGCUACGAUGCGUAGCCGACCUGAGAGGGUGAUCGGCCACACUGGAACUGAGACACGGUCCAGACUCCUACGGGAGGCAGCAGUAGGGAAUCUUCCGCAAUGGGCGAAAGCUUGACGGAGCAACGCCGCGUGAGUGAUGAAGGUCUUCGGAUCGUAAAACUCUGUUAUUAGGGAAGAACAAAUGUGUAAGUAACUAUGCACGUCUUGACGGUACCUAAACAGAAAGCCACGGCUAACUACGUG